Molecule: unclassified non-coding RNA, 494 nt
Filed under: Hevea brasiliensis (rubber tree)
Lineage: Eukaryota; Viridiplantae; Streptophyta; Magnoliopsida; Malpighiales; Euphorbiaceae
Source: RNAcentral
UUUCCCUUAAUUUUCUCAAAUGAGUUCACUUACAAUGAAUCAAUAAUGUGAAAAAUUGAGUUAGCUGAUUGGAAAUCCAUCUGAAACUAUAGUUCAAUCCUAACAAAUUCCAAAAUCAAUUCUCAAUCACCUCCAGAUCUCAUCGGAGAUCGCUAUAUUCGCCGCGAAUUCUGAUUUGAGAUUGUUAUAUCACAUGGCAGGGGCGGCAUCGGCGCUGUUCCUACUUGACAUCAAAGGCAGAGUACUGGUUUGGCGUGAUUUCCGUGGAGAUGUCUCGUCCGUCCAGGCCGAACGAUUCUUCACCAAGCUCCUUGAGAAAGAGGGUGACCCUCAAGAUCCUGUUGCAUAUGAUAAUGGCGUGACAUAUAUGUUUAUACAGCACAAUAAUGUAUACCUCAUGACCGCAUCAAGGCAGAAUUGUAAUGCUGCUAGUAUUCUUCUGUUUCUACACCGUGUUGUUGACGUCUUUAAGCAUUACUUUGAAGAGCUAGAAG